RNAcentral lists this ribosomal RNA (1462 nucleotides) under Leuconostoc mesenteroides subsp. mesenteroides. Its description in RNAcentral is "bacterial SSU rRNA". It matches the Rfam family "Bacterial small subunit ribosomal RNA". The record is from RNAcentral. Lineage: Bacteria; Bacillati; Bacillota; Bacilli; Lactobacillales; Lactobacillaceae.
GAACGCUGGCGGCGUGCCUAAUACAUGCAAGUCGAACGCACAGCGAAAGGUGCUUGCACCUUUCAAGUGAGUGGCGAACGGGUGAGUAACACGUGGACAACCUGCCUCAAGGCUGGGGAUAACAUUUGGAAACAGAUGCUAAUACCGAAUAAAACUUAGUGUCGCAUGACACAAAGUUAAAAGGCGCUUCGGCGUCACCUAGAGAUGGAUCCGCGGUGCAUUAGUUAGUUGGUGGGGUAAAGGCCUACCAAGACAAUGAUGCAUAGCCGAGUUGAGAGACUGAUCGGCCACAUUGGGACUGAGACACGGCCCAAACUCCUACGGGAGGCUGCAGUAGGGAAUCUUCCACAAUGGGCGAAAGCCUGAUGGAGCAACGCCGCGUGUGUGAUGAAGGCUUUCGGGUCGUAAAGCACUGUUGUAUGGGAAGAACAGCUAGAAUAGGAAAUGAUUUUAGUUUGACGGUACCAUACCAGAAAGGGACGGCUAAAUACGUGCCAGCAGCCGCGGUAAUACGUAUGUCCCGAGCGUUAUCCGGAUUUAUUGGGCGUAAAGCGAGCGCAGACGGUUUAUUAAGUCUGAUGUGAAAGCCCGGAGCUCAACUCCGGAAUGGCAUUGGAAACUGGUUAACUUGAGUGCAGUAGAGGUAAGUGGAACUCCAUGUGUAGCGGUGGAAUGCGUAGAUAUAUGGAAGAACACCAGUGGCGAAGGCGGCUUACUGGACUGCAACUGACGUUGAGGCUCGAAAGUGUGGGUAGCAAACAGGAUUAGAUACCCUGGUAGUCCACACCGUAAACGAUGAACACUAGGUGUUAGGAGGUUUCCGCCUCUUAGUGCCGAAGCUAACGCAUUAAGUGUUCCGCCUGGGGAGUACGACCGCAAGGUUGAAACUCAAAGGAAUUGACGGGGACCCGCACAAGCGGUGGAGCAUGUGGUUUAAUUCGAAGCAACGCGAAGAACCUUACCAGGUCUUGACAUCCUUUGAAGCUUUUAGAGAUAGAAGUGUUCUCUUCGGAGACAAAGUGACAGGUGGUGCAUGGUCGUCGUCAGCUCGUGUCGUGAGAUGUUGGGUUAAGUCCCGCAACGAGCGCAACCCUUAUUGUUAGUUGCCAGCAUUCAGAUGGGCACUCUAGCGAGACUGCCGGUGACAAACCGGAGGAAGGCGGGGACGACGUCAGAUCAUCAUGCCCCUUAUGACCUGGGCUACACACGUGCUACAAUGGCGUAUACAACGAGUUGCCAACCCGCGAGGGUGAGCUAAUCUCUUAAAGUACGUCUCAGUUCGGAUUGUAGUCUGCAACUCGACUACAUGAAGUCGGAAUCGCUAGUAAUCGCGGAUCAGCACGCCGCGGUGAAUACGUUCCCGGGUCUUGUACACACCGCCCGUCACACCAUGGGAGUUUGUAAUGCCCAAAGCCGGUGGCCUAACCUUUUAGGAAGGAGCCGUCUAAGGCAGGACAGAUGA